CGGGGAGCGAGCCCCGGGGGCCGUCCGUCACCCGCCCCGGCGCCGCUUCCGGGCCCGUCCUCCCGCCGGCCCGAGCAGCACCGGCGCCGAGCGGGGAGCGACGCGGGAAGCGUCGUUCACAGGACGGGAGCACCACCACGACUAUAAACAGCGGCCGCCCCCGGCGGAAAGGGGCGAAAGCGCAGCGAAAAACGGGUGUGUUUACCAGCGCCACUGCUGUCAGCUGGCUAAACGCGCUGCGGGGCUGCUAAACCGGAGUUGCUUCCUGCCGCCAUUCACACGUUACCCUGCCUUCUUAGCAAAAGGACAUACCGUGCUGUGAAAGCACAGAAUGCAAACAUUUUGUCAUAGUUACUGUGUAAGGGUAAUUAAAAAAUCAAACUGGCCAGGUAUAUUUCUUAAAAUUGAUCUUGAGAAUAGGCCUAAGUGACUGUGGAUGAACACGACAGACAAUUUAUAAAAAUGAAUGGAUGCUCGUGUUACCAGGACAUAGCUAUGAACAGUCACACGCAGUUGAAACUCUCCUUUGAUGCCUUGUAUGAACUGUUUAUUAUAGCAAUAGCCAUUUUUUUGAUUGGAAUGAAGGAAUAAAUCAACUUUCACGGUAAUAGAAGCUUUCUUCUACUGUCUGCGGGAAAUGGCUGAGAGAUCCAACAUCAUUUUCUGGUCAUCUAGAAAUCAUACCCUCCUAUCGACAACAACAGGAUCAAGCGAUCUUGAAGAACGUACCAACUCAAGACUCAGAAAUUCAUGGAAACUUAUGACCUCAGUAGAUUACAUCUCCAUUCUGAAUGACUCAGUAAGGCAUUCUGUUGGCAAAUUUAAAGAAAAUGUUCUCCUGAUUAGAGCCCAUUACAUUCAUUGUCUGAGUGUGACUAGUGGCACUACUAACUGUUAA
Molecule: long non-coding RNA, 898 nt
Filed under: Dromaius novaehollandiae (emu)
Lineage: Eukaryota; Metazoa; Chordata; Aves; Casuariiformes; Dromaiidae
Description: lncRNA (ENSDNVG00000010937.1)
Source: RNAcentral